RNAcentral lists this transfer RNA (64 nucleotides) under Goniada japonica. RNAcentral's name for it is "tRNA-Gly". The record is from RNAcentral. Lineage: Eukaryota; Metazoa; Annelida; Polychaeta; Phyllodocida; Goniadidae.
AUUUCUUCAGUAUAAGUGUACAUUUGCCUUCCAAGCAAAAAGAUUAAUAAAAUAAAAGAAAUAA